AGUCGAGAGAACCUGCGCCGAAAAUAAUCGGGGCUAAAACACACCACCGAAGCUACGGAUUUCCUACUAAGUAGGAAGUGGUAGAGGAGCAUACUGCAAGGACGAAGCCAAAUCGAGAGAGAUGGUGGACGAAGCAGUAGAGAGAAUGCCGGAAUGAGUAGCGAGAUAUAUGUGAGAACCAUAUAGGCCGAAUAUCUAAGGUUUCCUGGGUGAAGCUAAUCUACCCAGGGUAAGUCGGGACCUAAGGCGAGGACGAGAGUCGUAGUCGAUGGACAACUGGUAGAGAUUCCAGUACUAUGUAUGAUCAGAACUGUGGGGACGCAGGAGGAUAGAUGGACCGCGGAAAGGGAAGACGCGGCCAAGCACAAAGGCGAGGUCAGUAGGCAAAUCCGCUGAUUGAUGUUGAAGUGUGACGGGGACUGAAAGAAAGUAAGGAAGUCAUUGAUCCACACUGCCGAGAAAAGCCGCUAUUGUGUCAUACAUACCCGUACCGCAAACCGACACAGGUAGAUGAGGAGAAAAUCCACAGGCCGACGGGAGAAGUGUUGUUAAGGAACUCGGCAAAAUGACCCCGUAACUUAGGGAGAAGGGGAGCCACGAGAAGUGGUCACAGAGAAGAGGCUCAAGCAACUGUUUAGCAAAAACACAGGUCUCUGCGAAACCGAAAGGUGAAGUAUAGGGGCUGACACCUGCCCGGUGCUGGAAGGUUAAAAGGAGAGGUUCGGAGAAAUCCAAAGCUUUGAAUUCAAGCCCCAGUAAACGGCGGCCGUAACUAUAACGGUCCUAAGGUAGCGAAAUUCCUUGUCAGGUAAGUUCUGACCCGCACGAAAGGUGUAAUGAUUUGAGCACUGUCUCGACAACACGCCCGGUGAAAUUGAAGAACCGGUGAAGAUACCGGUUACCCGCAACAGGACGGAAAGACCCCAUGGAGCUUUACUGCAGCCUGAUACUGGGAUUCGAUGAUGUAUGUACAGGAUAGGUGGGAGACUAUGAAGGGAGUACGCCAGUAUUCCUGGAGUCGACGGUGGGAUACCUCUCUUACAUCAUUGGGUUUCUAACCUGCAGCCGUAAUCCGGAUGAGGGACAAUGUCAGGCGGGCAGUUUGACUGGGGCGGUCGCCUCCAAAAGAGUAACGGAGGCGCUCAAAGGUCUUCUCAGAAUGAUUGGAAACCAUUCAAAGAGUGUAAAGGCAAAAGAAGGCUUGACUGCGAGGCCGACGGGCCGAGCAGGUACGAAAGUAGGACUUAGUGAUCCGGUGGUAAUACGUGGGAAUGCCAUCGCUCAACGGAUAAAAGCUACCCUGGGGAUAACAGGCUGAUCUCCCCCAAGAGUUCACAUCGACGGGGAGGUUUGGCACCUCGAUGUCGGCUCAUCGCAUCCUGGGGCUGAAGUAGGUCCCAAGGGUUGGGCUGUUCGCCCAUUAAAGCGGUACGCGAGCUGGGUUCAGAACGUCGUGAGACAGUUCGGUCCCUAUCCGUUGUGGGCGUAGGAAAUUUGAGAGGAGCUGUCCUUAGUACGAGAGGACCGGGAUGGACGAACCGCUGGUGUAUCUGUUGCAUACCAAAUGCACGGCAGAGUAGCUAUGUUCGGAACGGAUAAACGCUGAAGGCAUCUAAGCGUGAAGCCCCCCUCAAGAUGAGAUUUCCCAUUCGAAAGAAGUAAGACCCCUUGAAGACUACGAGGUAGAUAGGUCAGAGGUGUAAGUACAGUAAUGUAUUUAGCUUACUGAUACUAAUAGGUCGAGGGCUUGACCGA
RNAcentral lists this ribosomal RNA (1755 nucleotides) under human gut metagenome. RNAcentral describes it as "bacterial LSU rRNA". It matches the Rfam family "Bacterial large subunit ribosomal RNA", at positions 1147 to 2925 of the family's 2925-position model. The record is from RNAcentral.